UCCCUAGUAGCUCAGUGGCAAAGAAUCUGCCUGCCAAUGCAGGGGACACAGGUUCAAUCUCUGGUCUAGGGAG
Non-coding RNA from Bos taurus (domestic cattle), 73 nucleotides. NCBI's taxonomy places the organism in Eukaryota, Metazoa, Chordata, Mammalia, Artiodactyla, Bovidae. The record is from Rfam.